CGCUAGCUACAGGCUUAACACAUGCAAGUCGAGGGGUAGCAGGGUAGCAAUACCGCUGACGACCGGCGCACGGGUGAGUAACACGUAUCCAACCUUCCCAUUACUCGGGGAUAGCCUUUCGAAAGAAAGAUUAAUACCCGAUAGUACUUUUUCGAGGCAUCUCGUAAAAAGUUAAAGAUUUAUUGGUAAUGGAUGGGGAUGCGUUCCAUUAGAUUGUUGGUGAGGUAACGGCUCACCAAGUCUUCGAUGGAUAGGGGUUCUGAGAGGAAGGUCCCCCACAUUGGUACUGAGACACGGACCAAACUCCUACGGGAGGCAGCAGUGAGGAAUAUUGGUCAAUGGGCGAGAGCCUGAACCAGCCAAGUAGCGUGAAGGAUGACGG
This 382-nucleotide ribosomal RNA is filed under the name uncultured Bacteroidales bacterium. RNAcentral describes it as "bacterial SSU rRNA". It matches the Rfam family "Bacterial small subunit ribosomal RNA", at positions 34 to 414 of the family's 1533-position model. Lineage: Bacteria; Pseudomonadati; Bacteroidota; Bacteroidia; Bacteroidales. The record is from RNAcentral.